UUCCGGUUGAUCCUGCCGGACCUGACUGCUAUCGGAUUGAUGCUAAGCCAUGCGAGUCAUUGUAGCAAUACAAGGCAGACGGCUCAGUAACGCGUAGUCAACCUAACCUAUGGACGGGAAUAACCUCGGGAAACUGAGAAUAAUGCCCGAUAGAACACUAUACCUGGAAUGGUUUGUGUUCCAAAUGAUUUAUCGCCGUAGGAUGGGACUGCGGCCUAUCAGUUUGUUGGUGAGGUAAUGGCCCACCAAGACUAUUACAGGUACGGGCUCUGAGAGGAGUAGCCCGGAGAUGGGUACUGAGACACGGACCCAGGCCCUAUGGGGCGCAGCAGGCGAGAAAACUUUGCAAUGUGCGAAAGCACGACAAGGUUAAUCCGAGUGGUUUGUGCUAAACGAACCUUUUGUCGGUCCUAGAAACACCGAUGAAUAAGGGGUGGGCAAGUUCUGGUGUCAGCCGCCGCGGUAAAACCAGCACCUCAAGUGGUCAGGAUGACUAUUGGGCCUAAAGCAUCCGUAGCCGGCGCUGUAAGUUUUCGGUUAAAUCUGUACGCUCAACGUACAGGCUGCCGGGAAUACUGCAGCGCUAGGGAGUGGGAGAGGUAGACGGUACUCGGUAGGAAGGGGUAAAAUCCUUUGAUCUAUUGAUGACCACCUGUGGCGAAGGCGGUCUACCAGAACACGUCCGACGGUGAGGGAUGAAAGCUGGGGGAGCGAACCGGAUUAGAUACCCGGGUAGUCCCAGCUGUAAACUAUGCAAACUCAGUGAUGCAUUGGCUUGUGGCCAAUGCAGUGCUGCAGGGAAGCCGUUAAGUUUGCCGCCUGGGAAGUACGUACGCAAGUAUGAAACUUAAAGGAAUUGGCGGGGGGGCACCACAAGGGUGAAGCCUGCGGUUCAAUUGGAGUCAACGCCGGG
RNAcentral lists this ribosomal RNA (913 nucleotides) under uncultured archaeon. Its description in RNAcentral is "bacterial SSU rRNA". It matches the Rfam family "Archaeal small subunit ribosomal RNA", at positions 1 to 922 of the family's 1478-position model. The record is from RNAcentral.